Molecule: long non-coding RNA, 260 nt
Filed under: Elaeis guineensis (African oil palm)
Lineage: Eukaryota; Viridiplantae; Streptophyta; Magnoliopsida; Arecales; Arecaceae
Description: long non-coding RNA (EGUI_LNC067782)
Source: RNAcentral
GAUCUCAUAAUGGCUUUCAAGAAUAUCAGGUAAGUGGAUACAAAUCGAUGGAUUAUAGGUGGAAGAAAUAAAGUAUUCCUUCAUUUGGCUAGGUGGUUCUUUAGGAUUUUUAGCCAUUUGCUUGUUAGGUUAAAUAUGGAUCAGUUGUUCAAUUUUAAGAUUGGGUUCAACUAGGUCAGAAAAAAAAAAUCUCUUAUCAUGUAUGUACCAGUGUAAAUCCUAAUAUGUGUGGUUUAGAAUUUUUUUUUUCAGGAAGAGGG